This 253-nucleotide ribosomal RNA is filed under the name uncultured bacterium. RNAcentral describes it as "partial 16S ribosomal RNA". It matches the Rfam family "Bacterial small subunit ribosomal RNA", at positions 524 to 776 of the family's 1533-position model. The record is from RNAcentral.
UACAUGGGGUGCAAGCGUUGCUCGGAAUUAUUGGGCGUAAAGCGCACGUAGGUGGUCUGUUAUGUCAGAUGUGAAAGCCCUCGGCUUAACUGAGGAAGUGCACCUGAAACUGGCAGGCUUGAGUACGAAAGAGGGUCGCGGAAUUCCCGGUGUAGAGGUGAAAUUCGUAGAUAUUCGCAAGAACACCAGUGGCGAAGGCGGCUCACUGGCCCGAUACUGACGCUGAGGCACGAAAGCGUGGGGAGCAAACAGG